This is a long non-coding RNA of Aphis gossypii (cotton aphid), 784 nucleotides long. RefSeq lists it as uncharacterized. The transcript has 4 exons. NCBI's taxonomy places the organism in Eukaryota, Metazoa, Arthropoda, Insecta, Hemiptera, Aphididae. The record is from RefSeq and is a predicted model, not a curated record.
UUACUUUAUGCCCUUACGAUGUUAUACAUACACUUUUUAUACGAUAAAAAGAAAAAUGGUAUAAUGUAUUUUAUUUACACGAAACCCAUUGUAAGUAACAAUUAUCACUCGAAAUUUCCACUCCAAAUGUUAAAGUCGAACUACUUGUAUUUAUACAAUUAACUUAAAACAAGCUUUUCCCUAACUGUAAUAUCAUAUGUUAAGUAAGGUUAAUUUAGAUUGGAUUUAGAGUCAUACAGUACGAUGUUAUAUGACAGUAAUAUGUUUAUUAUAAUAUAAAAAUGGGAUAAGGACAUUCUGUCAAAUUUACACAGUUGAAGGACAUAAGGCUGACAGCCAAAUGGCAGGAACUAUCUGACAACGCCAAGUGACGAAAAUACAACAACGUAAUUAUAAACAUAAAAGCUAAAAAAAAAAGAUGUUAAUAUGCACUUAUAUCAAGUCAAAUGUUAUCAUAAUGGUAUUGAGGAAAUUACAAAUCAAUUACAACAGAAAUUGGCAGAAUCACAAUUAUUUCGUCGGGAAAAACUAGACCAAAAGAAAUUACAAAAUAUAUCAAACGUCAAAUUCAAAUAAAAACCAGUAUCAGUCGUAAAAGGAAACCAGUUCUAAACAAUAGGAUUAUUUAGAAUCAACCAGUUAAUAAAAUCAAAAUGACCUGCACCGAAGCGAUGACAUUAAGCAGAAGACAGCGGAACUCACCGAAUUGACACAAACAUCUUCCAAACACUCAAGUUUCAUUGCUGGGUAGUUAAAACGAAGUUGGAUAUUUUCUUAUAAUCUG